Molecule: ribosomal RNA, 274 nt
Filed under: uncultured bacterium
Lineage: Bacteria
Description: partial 16S ribosomal RNA
Rfam family: Bacterial small subunit ribosomal RNA
Source: RNAcentral
AUACGGAGGGUGCGAGCGUUACUCGGAGUCACUGGGCGUAAAGCGUCCGUAGGCGGUCGAGUAAGUCGGGUGUGAAAGCCCCGGGCUCAACCUGGGAAGUGCACCCGAUACUGCUCGACUCGAGUGCGGGAGAGGAUGGCGGAAUUCCCGGUGUAGCGGUGAAAUGCGUAGAGAUCGGGAGGAACACCAGUGGCGAAGGCGGCCAUCUGGCCCGCAACUGACGCUGAGGGACGAAAGCGUGGGGAGCAAACAGGAUUAGAAACCCUAGUAGUCC